Molecule: ribosomal RNA, 433 nt
Filed under: uncultured bacterium
Lineage: Bacteria
Description: bacterial SSU rRNA
Rfam family: Bacterial small subunit ribosomal RNA
Source: RNAcentral
GUGGGGUAAAGGCCUACCAAGCCGACGAUCUGUAGCUGGUCUGAGAGGACGACCAGCCACACUGGGACUGAGACACGGCCCAGACUCCUACGGGAGGCAGCAGUGGGGAAUUUUGGACAAUGGGCGCAAGCCUGAUCCAGCCAUGCCGCGUGCGGGAAGAAGGCCUUCGGGUUGUAAACCGCUUUUGUCAGGGAAGAAACGCGCUGAGCUAAUACCUCGGCGUAAUGACGGUACCUGAAGAAUAAGCACCGGCUAACUACGUGCCAGCAGCCGCGGUAAUACGUAGGGUGCAAGCGUUAAUCGGAAUUACUGGGCGUAAAGCGUGCGCAGGCGGUUGUGUAAGACAGAUGUGAAAUCCCCGGGCUCAACCUGGGAACUGCAUUUGUGACUGCACAGCUAGAGUGCGGCAGAGGGGGAUGGAAUUCCGCGUGUA